Molecule: ribosomal RNA, 212 nt
Filed under: uncultured bacterium
Lineage: Bacteria
Description: partial 16S ribosomal RNA
Rfam family: Bacterial small subunit ribosomal RNA
Source: RNAcentral
CAGUUCGGACUGUGGUCUGCAACUCGACCACACGAAGCUGGAAUCGCUAGUAAUCGCGAAUCAGCAUGUCGCGGUGAAUACGUUCCCGGGUCUUGUACACACCGCCCGUCACACCAUGGGAGUCAGCAACGCCCGAAGUCAGUGACCUAACCGAGAGGAAGGAGCUGCCGAAGGCGGGGCAGGUAACUGGGGUGAAGUCGUAACAAGGUAAC